AUGCUACCUCGUUUCCAGAGUUCAAUUCCCCCCGUGAUUCUCAUUGAUGAUUUCAGUACUCCAAAAAAGAAACAAUCAUUUUCUCAAGAGGGUUCUUUGUAUAAGCCACAGUGUGAUGAGGAAUUGAAGCCAAAAGUAGGGAUGAUAUUUGAUGACAUUGGCUCGGUGAUGGAAUUUUACAAAACAUAUGCACACAAUGUCGGCUUUGGUGUACGUCUUGGGCAACAAAAAGUCGUGGAUAAUGUGCUUCAGUGGAAGCGCUUCUUGUGUGCAAAAGAAGGCUUUCGGACCGAGAAAGGCAUGAUUGCUAUUGACCCUGCUAAGAAAAGGAGAAAGGUGAAAUUGACAAGAUGUUGA
Molecule: ribosomal RNA, 357 nt
Filed under: Triticum aestivum (bread wheat)
Lineage: Eukaryota; Viridiplantae; Streptophyta; Magnoliopsida; Poales; Poaceae
Description: partial small subunit ribosomal RNA
Source: RNAcentral